AUGUACUUUGCAUUUGUGAUUCCAUCAAAGUUGCCACCAAACCAGACGACGCCCUCUCUUUCACCAGCUCCGCCCACCCAACAACUAGUACGUACAUAUCCUCUCGCCCCGGUGACCGUUCAAAGAAAAGAAAAACUAUACCAUGAAGAACGGCUACCCUCCGAUGCUACCCUCCUUUUGAGAGCGCCCCCCUACAUCAUUCUGAAAUAUGUCAUCAUCACGGCCCACCACACCUCAUUGCCUAGAAAAACUUCUGGAACAAAAGACCAGCAGCUGGGCCUCCACUUUCCCCAUCCAUUCUUCCCUUUCUUGUUUCCGUGUCCGUCCUCUCCUCGCUCGCUUUUCAUCUUUUUUCUUUCUUGUGAUCUAUCUAUCGACUCCUCCUCCUUCUUCUUCUUCUUCUUCUUCUUCUUCUUCUUCUUCUUCUUCUUCUUCUUCUUCUUCUUUCUUGUACAAAUCCAACUGAUUGAGUCAGUGAAUAUGUGGUGGGGGAUCUUCAACCUCGCCAUGGUUUGCGUUUGCACGAUUGGGAUGCUGCCUCUGGCUGCACCCACCAUCCACCACGGAGGAGGACGACGAGGAGGGAACCCGGCGAACGACCUGGUGGCGAUGGUGAACGGCGACCGGGCAUCGGCCAAGCUGCCCACCCUCCGCCACAGCAAGGGCCUCGGCUGCAUGGCGCUGCAGUACAUCUCCCGAUGCAGCGACAAGAGCGGGUGCGCUGACGGCGGCACGCUCGCCCCGCCCUGCCGUCCGCCGGAGACCGACAUCACCGAGGUCUACGCCGCCAACUGCGGGGUCGAGCUCCCCACCGUCGGCGCCAUCUCAGGCCGCAUCCUCGGAUGCGGCUUGCACGCGGGCGUUUACGACUUCGAGAUAACCAACGCCACGGUGUUCCGCGGCAAGGACCAGACGCUGCCACGCUGGUGGGCGCCGGCGUGGACGGAGGAUUCUGGUGCCUCCUCCUCACCAGCGGCAGCCCCAACUCCAGCUUCCUGCUGGAGGACGCCGGCAGGGGUAUCGCGCAGACACACGGCUGCUUCAGCGACCCGGACACCCUCUCCUGCAACGCCUCCGCCGCCCAAACCAGGCGAGUCACCGCCGGAUCCUCUGCCUUGGCUCCGCUUCUUCCCCUGCUGCUAUUCCUCCUCUAAUCAAGUGGAGUAA
This 1167-nucleotide ribosomal RNA is filed under the name Triticum aestivum (bread wheat). Its description in RNAcentral is "partial small subunit ribosomal RNA". The record is from RNAcentral. Lineage: Eukaryota; Viridiplantae; Streptophyta; Magnoliopsida; Poales; Poaceae.